AACGAACGCUGGCGGCAUGCCUAACACAUGCAAGUCGAACGAGACCUUCGGGUCCUGUGGCGCACGGGUGCGUAACGCGUCGGAACCUGCCCUUAGGUUCGGCAUAACUCUCCGACAGGGGUGCUAAUACCGGAUAAUGUCUUCGGACCAAAGAUUUAUCGCCUUUGGUUGGGCCCGCGUUGGAUUAGCUGGUUGGUAGGGUAAAAGCCUACCACGGCGACGAUCCAUAGAUGGUUAGAGAGGAUGAUCAGCGACACUGGGACUGGGACGCGGCCCAGACUCCUACGCGAGGGAGGAGUGGGGGAUAUUGGACAAUGGGCGAAGGGCUGAUCCAGCAAUGCCGCGUGAGUGAUGAAGGCCUUAGGGUUGUAAAGCUCUUUUACCCGGGAUGAUAAUGACAGUACCGGGAGAAUAAGCUCCGGCUAACUCCGUG
This 433-nucleotide ribosomal RNA is filed under the name uncultured bacterium. RNAcentral describes it as "partial 16S ribosomal RNA". It matches the Rfam family "Bacterial small subunit ribosomal RNA", at positions 29 to 507 of the family's 1533-position model. The record is from RNAcentral.